GACGAACGCUGGCGGCGUGCCUAAUACAUGCAAGUUGAGCGAUGAAGAUUGGUGCUUGCUCCAAUUUGAAGAGCAGCGAACGGGUGAGUAACGCGUGGGGAAUCUGCCUUUGAGCGGGGGACAACAUUUGGAAACGAAUGCUAAUACCGCAUAACAACUUUAAACAUAAGUUUUAAGUUUGAAAGAUGCAAUUGCAUCACUCAAAGAUGAUCCCGCGUUGUAUUAGCUAGUUGGUGAGGUAAAGGCUCACCAAGGCGAUGAUACAUAGCCGACCUGAGAGGGUGAUCGGCCACAAUGGGAAUGAGACACGGCCCAAACUCCUACGGGAGGCAGCAGUAGGGAAUCUUCGGGAAUGGACGAAAGUCUGACCGAGCAACGCCGCGUGGGUGAAGAAGGUUUUCGGAUCGUAAAACUCUGUUGGUAGAGAAGAACGUUGGUGAGAGUGGAAAGCUCAUCAAGUGACGGUAACUACCCAGAAAGGGACGGCUAACUACGUG
RNAcentral lists this ribosomal RNA (497 nucleotides) under uncultured bacterium. RNAcentral's name for it is "partial 16S ribosomal RNA". It matches the Rfam family "Bacterial small subunit ribosomal RNA", at positions 28 to 507 of the family's 1533-position model. The record is from RNAcentral.